This 77-nucleotide transfer RNA is filed under the name Chromobacterium violaceum. RNAcentral describes it as "tRNA-Ile(gat)". It matches the Rfam family "tRNA". Rfam says of the family: Transfer RNA (tRNA) molecules are approximately 80 nucleotides in length. Lineage: Bacteria; Pseudomonadati; Pseudomonadota; Betaproteobacteria; Neisseriales; Chromobacteriaceae. RNAcentral also lists the same sequence under 27 other names. The record is from RNAcentral.
GGGUUUGUAGCUCAGCUGGUUAGAGCACUGUGUUGAUAACGCAGGGGUCGUAGGUUCGAGUCCUACCAGACCCACCA